This 436-nucleotide ribosomal RNA is filed under the name uncultured bacterium. Its description in RNAcentral is "partial 16S ribosomal RNA". It matches the Rfam family "Bacterial small subunit ribosomal RNA", at positions 29 to 506 of the family's 1533-position model. The record is from RNAcentral.
AGCGAACGCUGGCGGCAGGCUUAACACAUGCAAGUCGAGCGGGCAUCCUUGUGGUGUCAGCGGCAGACGGGUGAGUAACGCGUGGGAACGUGCCCUUCGGUUCGGAAUAACUCAGGGAAACUUGAGCUAAUACCGGAUACGUGCGAGAGCAGAAAGGUUUAUCUGCCGAAGGAUCGGCCCGCGUCUGAUUAGCUAGUUGGUGAGGUUAUGGCUCACCAAGGCGACGAUCAGUAGCUGGUCUGAGAGGAUGAUCAGCCACACUGGGACUGAGACACGGCCCAGACUCCUACGGGAGGCAGCAGUGGGGAAUAAUGGACCAUGGGGGCAACCCUGAUCCAGCCAUGCCGCGUGAGUGAUGACGGCCUUAGGGUUGUAAAGCUCUUUUCUCCGGGACGAUAAUGACGGUACCGGAGGAAUAAGCCCCGGCUAACUUCGU